UCCCUGAUGGUCCAGUGGUUACGACUCUGCACUUCCACUGCAGGAGGCCCAGGUUCAAUCCCUAGUCAGGGAA
Molecule: non-coding RNA, 73 nt
Organism: Bos taurus (domestic cattle)
Lineage: Eukaryota; Metazoa; Chordata; Mammalia; Artiodactyla; Bovidae
Source: Rfam